UGGGAUUAUGUAUAAUAUUAUUUUAUUAAAAAACAUGUGAUUUAUAAGAAGUGAGAGAAAAAUGAUUGUACCAGUCGGCAAAGAUGAAUCAGAAAUCGAUGAAGGCUUGUACAAGAAACUAGAUAUUGAAGGGAAAAACGGAGCUAAGUGCACACCGACAGCGAGUGUGAUGAAAAGGGCACAGCUGAAAAAAAGCAUCUUAUUCCGGCUUAAAUGCCACCCCGCCAUACCCAUUGGUACGAACAACACAAUCCCGGCUGCCAAUAAUCCAAACUGUACAGCCCCAAACAUUUCUGAUUUCAAAUCAAAAGUGACACAGAGGUGGUUUAUUUUUCAUCGGAAAAGCCGAAAAUUGAUGCAAGAUUUCGGUACAAAAGACUAAAGUUUGUUGGUUAGGGGGGAGUUUUGACGGUGAUAGACUGAUAGUGAUGGUUUAACAGGCAAAUCCAGGCUGUGCUGUGAAAUUAUAAUAGAAAUUUGUUAGGAAAAUUCGGAAAUGUAAAG
This 504-nucleotide long non-coding RNA is filed under the name Olea europaea (common olive). RNAcentral describes it as "long non-coding RNA (OEUR_LNC005565)". Lineage: Eukaryota; Viridiplantae; Streptophyta; Magnoliopsida; Lamiales; Oleaceae. The record is from RNAcentral.